Molecule: small RNA, 29 nt
Filed under: Bombyx mori (domestic silkworm)
Lineage: Eukaryota; Metazoa; Arthropoda; Insecta; Lepidoptera; Bombycidae
Description: ovarian small RNA-30352
Source: RNAcentral
UGAAAAGGUGCUAUUCGGGACUCGAUCGU